UCUUCCCGGUGCAUGGACUGAGAUACAAAUAUACAGAAAGCAUAAGGUAAAUAAAGAAUUUUUUAAAAUGUAUGAAUGCAAUAGCUUAUUUAGAUGUGUCUUUAUCAAACAGCUUAAUUAUUAUUCCUAUUACAUAAAUCUAUAGAGUAUGUCUUACUUUUAAAACAUUUCAUAACAAUCUUGGCCAUUAUUUAUAUUUCUAAUUUUAGGGGCGGCUAUUUAAAAAAAAAAUGCUUUUGAUUUUACCAUUUUUGUACACGUUUAAUUUUAUGUAUAAACAAAGUUACUAAGGGUUCAGGUUAAAAAGCAUUUAUCAACUAUAGUUUGAACAAUACAAUGCAACGGGAGAUAACUCUACUGUAUAUAAAAUUAUUAAACAUUUAUUUUACUAUUUUACUGAUAUAAUCGAGCGUUUUGCAUUUUGUUAAAUUUUAUGAAACUGCCUUCUAGUGAUAUAUUUUUGCGAACACAAACAUGUUUUGGUUAAUACAAUAAUUCAUUGAUCAAAGUCAUUAACGUCGUAUGAUACAGUAACAUUAAUCAAGUUGAGAAUGUUUUAUCAACUUGAAUGGCCAGGUUUAACUAUAAAAUAGAAGAUUGCUAUCAAAGUCGACAGAAAUGUACUGCUAUUGAAUAAUUGUCUUCCAUUAUUCUAAUUCGUGGAUAUCGUUUCCGUAUGCAGUGACCUUAAAUUCGCUACUAAUUAGCGCAAGUGCGAGGGAAACCCGCGAUGAAAAAAGGCAAACAAACAUGAAAGUUAUAAAAUGUAAAGUGAGUCUGCAAGAAAAGCUUUAAUACAACAAAUGAAUUACCACAACUGUUACUUGUUAUGACGAAGAUAGAUAAACAAGCACAUGGAAAAUUAAAACAAAACUCGCUCUAUUUAAUGCUUAUAAUCACACGUGUGUUUCACGUGCUAUGUUCUGUGAUGAUUUUUUUUAUCAAGGUCAUAUUCGGUUAAUUCGGCAAUGAAACACAAAAGUUAAUUAGCGAGCAAAGUUUUCAUAAAAUAAAAUAUAUUUUGACAAUUAUAUAUAUAUAUAUAUAAUUAAAUGUGAUAGAUUCGUUAUGUAUGUAAAAUCCGUGCAUUAAGACAUUGUUUAGUAUGUAUAGAGGAAUUGGUUCAAUAAUUUCAAGAACUUCGAUUCAUAUGAAAUUAUAUUAUCAUUUCCACAUUUUUCACAUGAUCAAAAGAUUUUUAAAACACUGAAAAGUAAGAGUUAGGCCACACAUUAUACAUGUUAUAUUUCUGUUAAAAUUAUAUUUCUUAUAUAGUUGUGGUAUGCUUACUUUUUCCCGCAUGACGAAAUAUUUCUCAUAACACAUGGAAUAGUGGGUCAUAUGAAUAAGUGAUAAUUUAGUUGGUCUACCAUGAAAUGUUUGAUGAAAUUGCAACAUUUCCAGGUUAUUCGUUAGGUCAAUGAAAACGUGUAAUGGCCAAAAUGGACUAUGUUUACACCAUGGGAACACAUUAUUGUAAUUUCUUCAAUAAUAUACCACAAAUCACGUGUUUCACUGUAAAAUAUUCUUAUUAUCAAGAUUGAUUCUACUGUACUUUAAAAAUAAAUAAAUAGAAAACAACUUAUAUAAAUGUAUGAUAUGGAACGCCGGAACUGUCUUAAAGUGUAAAUUUUCAAUGUGUUUUGUACCUUUGCCUUCACGUCCCGUCAUUUCGUCUUUAUGUUAUGUGCAGGUGUCUUUAUUUCCUGACACUGCAUCUAUGUGUUAUGUCAAACUUAUUCUUUGUUUGGUCAAACAAUUGUAAGAUAUGCCAUUGCUAACCUUUGGUGUGUGCAAUAGGCAUAACAUUAUGCUGUAACUACUAUAUAUUGUGUGCAUACCUCCAACCUUUAUGAUCGACCACUUUAACAUUCUUUAAUAUCUUCUCUAUGUUGUAUAUUCUCCCUUUACGUAAGACAGUUGAUAAUUGCGUCCUAUCUCAAAUAUGAUUGUUAUGCUGAAUGUUCUAUACAUCUUUGUUAUAUGAAAACCUAGCUCAUGAUAUUAUAGUAUAACGGCUUUAUAUUGUGUUUACACAUAUCUAUCUGCUGUGGUUUAGUACAUAUGCGUUUUGCCGAACAAUUGAUACUCUCUGUUAGCAUUCAUUACGUCAUGUGAACAUACCUUUUACAUUAUAUUCAAACACCUAAUACAUUAUGUGCAAACACCUAUUACGUUAUAUGCAAACACCCUAUUACGUUAUGUAUUACACUUAUAACGUUAUGUGCAAACACCUAUUACAUUUUGUGUAAACACCUAUGACAUUAUGUGCAUAAAAGUACAAUCACAAAAAUACUGAACUCAGAGGAAAAUCCAAUCGGGAAGUCCAUAAUCACAUGGCAAAAUCAAAUGACAAAACACAUCAAAAACGAAUGGACAAGAGCUGUCAUAUUCCUGACUUGGUACAGGCAUUUUCAAAUGUAGAAAAUGGUGGAUUAAACCUGGUUUUUAAAGCGCUUUUUGCAUUAUGUCCCAACAUCUGUAACGUUAUGUGCAAACACCUAUUGCGUUAUGUGCAAACACCUAUUCAAACACGCCUUAUCUCAUGCCAUUUAUCGUUUUGUAGCUUACACUAUCAGUGUAAUACUAGGACAAAUGUCACUCACUUCAUUUCUCUUUUUUUGCUUGUUGUAUGGUCGAUUUGUCUGUUUUGAAUAGUUCAGUAAUUUUGAAGAUCAUUGUUUUGUUUAACACGAAAAAAAAUGUUGGAUUUUGAAAUUUUAAUUGUUUUUUUUUAAUUGAUAGUUUUGUUAUAAUUGUAAUAUACAAACCAAGUCGGACUCGGAAUAUGGCAUCCAUUCACAUUCCUGUUAAACUAUGCCCAUCAUGCCAUAAACGAAGUAGGAAUGAAAAACAAUGGGAUAAGUGUUAUAAAUCCGGGUUCUUCUACUGAAUUGCUUAUUUAUAUGCGAGGAAUGACCCCAAAAAAGCUUUAUCGAGGCUAUGGGAGCACAGACAGAUCAUGUUUAUUUUAGUAUAUUGCAUGAUGCUUCCGACCUCGUUCCCCUUCGAACUGAUGAUUACAAAUUAUUGUACCACCAUUCUUGCUAUAAAUCUUACACUAGCAGACAUAACUGCAGUUAUUUGAAAGCUGAAUCAAGUUCUCUUUUCGUUUGUAAAACUGUUUCAGAUCAUAUAUCAUGUAUACAUGGUAUAUAGAAGGUCGUCAACUUCAUGACCGAAAAAAGUAUCUUCGAGUCGAUGAGAACAAACAGGCCUUAAUGAGAUAUUUUGGCGAAUCGAUUGUUCAGCAACAUGGCAGAUCAACAUUACAAGAUUACUAUUACACAUGAAGAAGUCAUUUAUCUAGCUGGAACUUCUAUUGACCCUAAAUCUGCCCAAAAGAAGUAUUCAGAUUUGAAGAAUUAUUUUGUACGCGCGAUGAAGCGGAUACUCACAUAAUUUUACAUGCUAUUCAUGUAGACAAAGAGUUCGGUGUGAAAGGAAUCAAGGGUUGGAUAAUGAUAAAGUCACAAGAUACAGAUGUACUGUUCGUAUUCGUUUAUUACUACCCCUCCAUGCAGCAUACGCAUGAGCUUUGGUUUCAAACAGGUACGAUAACUUGCACACAAGAUUUGCGCCUCUAUUUACCUGUCUACGAAAUAUAAAAAAGUAUCGGGUCUGUCAUCUAUAACAUUCUACCAGCCGCACAUGCUGUAACAGGAUGCGAUACAACGUCAUCCCUGUUCGGGAUCGGUACGCGCACUGUUUUUAAAGUCUUGAAGGACAACCCAGAUGAUUUCACUGAUUUGUCAAACCUUUCGAAUUGUGGCAUCAAUGAAUAUUUAGAUGCAGGUCGAAAUCUUGUUGUUAGGUUGUAUGAUAUCAUGUCAAAACUCAAAACAUAUCAAAGUGACCUAAACAAAUGGAGGAUAAAAUUGGCUACAAUUAAAAAUUUAUCUCUUGUCAACUUGAUCCAUGUGAAUCUAACUUUAAACAGCAUGUGCUAAGAGCUUCACUCCAGACAUAUAUGUUGAUAUCUUCCCUUAAAGCAAAUCUACCCUUACUUUCUCCGCUUCAGUUCGGAUGGGAAUAAAAGAAUGAACUUGUUCUUGUCUAUUUCGAAGGUCAGAUGUCAUCCGAAUUUCUACAAGAUUUAGUUAGCACUUGUAAGUGGAAACAUGUGUGUUCAAAGGGUUUGCAUUUGAUUCGAACAAAAUCUAUCAUGUACAGAUUUAUGCCCAUGUCAGGCAAAUUACAUAUGUUAAAAUGUAAAUACUCGUAUGCUGGCAGUUAGAAACAUUGAUGACGUCGAAUAUGACGAUGUAUAAGAUUUCAUUUUUCUGUUGGUAUAUUUUUAAUCAUUGGUAGCAAUCGAAUGAAAAUUAAGCAGUCCAUAAAUUGUCCAAAUAAUAAACAAAAUAUCAACUAAAUUAUGAAUUCGUGGGAAAUAUAGUAAUCGUCUUUCUAGUGGGGAAAGACAUAAAAAAACACCUGCCAUAUGGUCUCUGACCUUGAUAUGGUUGUUGGGCUUUCAAACAAACUAAUAGGAUUCCGUUCAAAUUUUGGUUUGAGCGUCACUGAUGAGUCUUAUGCAGACGAAACGCACGUCUGGCGUAUUAAAUUAUAAUCCUGGUACCUCUGUUAACGUUUUGUUGCUUAUACUAUCUUCGAUCAUAUAUUCUAUGUAUUUGUUCUUUCAUUAUUCGUAUUUCGUGUUUUUGCCAUGCUGUUGUCGGCUUGUCUUCAAUUUCUAAGAUUUUAAUGUCCCUUUUGUAUAUCACGCAUUUUUGUUUGCAAUUGUUUGUAAAAUACAUCGGUGCUGUACAUAACCCUCUUCCUGAUUAAAUUCUGUGAAUACUUGUAAACAUUAUAUAGCAAAUAAGGGCUCAUUUUGUCAUCUGUAUAUAUCUGAUUAUGUAGAAUGAGGUGUUUUAACUGUUUCGAACAGACGUUUUUAUUCAUAAAUGUAACCCACCUCCUUUUCUCCGUUUGCAGUAAUCUUACUUCUGUAAAGCAAAGCUAUGCACAUAGCUUUAUAUUCAACCAAGACAGACGUUUAUGUUACACAAACUUUGAAACAAAUCAAUAAUAUACUUUGAAUACUUGUAAACAGUAUAUAGCCAAGUAGUGCUCAUUUUGUCAUCUGUAUAUAUCUGUAUAUGUAGAAUGAUGUGUUUUAACUGUUUCGAACAGACGUUUUAUUUCAUAAAUUUAACCCACCCCCUUUUCUCCGUUUGCAGUAAUCUUACUUCUGUAAAGCAAAGCUAUGCACAAAGCUUUAUAUUUAAUUAAGACAGAUGUACACAAAUUUUGAAACAAAUCAAUAACAUAUACGCUUUCACAUUCAAUAACAGAAAUUUUAUAUAUAUUUUUAUACCAAAAGACGUGAAAACACAUUUUGUAUUCGACAAAUUAUAAAAGUUAAGAUAUAAAAAAAACAUCUUUAAAUCUUACUUGUAAGGAAUAGAAUAGAAUAUAAAAAUUCCAAAUUUUGAAAUUGAAAUGGGUCAAGGUCACUGUUAUUUAAGAAAGAGAUGUUUGAAAAUUUCAAAUUUGCACCCUAUUAGUAAAAAAUGUCAAUCUCAAGUAAUUUUUAGAGAUAACAAUAUAGAAUAAGUUCUAAAUGUAGAUAAAUUAGCUGUAUUUAUUUUGCUACAAAAUCAUAUAUGUAGGAGAAACAAGCUACCUAAAUGUGACUCUGCAUUGUUCUGGAAUGUUUGCUCUGACUGUUGACUCUGAUUUAAAAAAAGAACUCACCACUGCAGAAAGUGACGACAACGAUAUUUCGAUGCGGCUUGUUCUCUUCUUCCCAAUGAUAUAAAAUAUAACCAUGUGUUAUUCCGUUAACCCAAAUCGAUCAAAUUCUUUGAUUGGGCACCCUAAUAAAUGUAAAAGGCAUUUGCACAUGACGUAAUAAUUGCUAACAGAGAGUAUCAAUUGCUAGGCAAAACGCUUAUGAAAUAUACCAUGAUAUACUAUAUUUUUCAUUUGAGAUACAAAUGUAUAAACACAACAUAAAGCCGUAAGACUAUAAUAUCAUUAGAUUUUCAUAUAACAAAGAUGUAUCAAAACAAAACGUUCAGAACACUCAGCAUAACAUUUGAGACAGGACGUAGUUAUCAACCGACUUACGUAAAGGAACAUUAGACAGAACACAGAGAAAAUAUUAAAGAAUUUAAAGGUGGUUGAUCUAAAAGUUUGAAGUAUGUACAGAAUAUAUAGUAGUUACAACAUAAUCAUGAUAAUGUAAUGCCUAUUGCACACAUCAAAGUUUAGCAAUGGCAUAUCAUACAAUUGUUUGACCAAACAAAUAAUUAAUUUGACAUAAUACAUAGAUAUGCAGUGUCAGGAAAUAAAGACACCUGCACAUAACAUAAAGAAGAAAUGACAGGACGUAAAGGCAGAGCGACAAAACACAUUGAAUAUUUAAAUUAUAAGACAGUUCCGGCGUUCCAUAUAUGACUCUGGAAACAAACUAAUGCCCACAACUUAUUGCAAAUGAUCAUGGGUAGCACCCAUAACUUUCCGUUUGAUAGAAUGAUCAAGAAAAACAAGAAGUAAAAUGAUAAAGAAAAGUCGAAUGCCUUUCUCUUUUUGCCUUUGAAUGAAAAAUAACAUUGAUUAAUUAUUCUAAAGAAUCGUACGUUUAUCUGUAAAAAAUAAUACCCUGGACUACACGCUGACAUAAUGUACGUAUAUUCCAUAUUUCUCUGUAAGGUGUAAGGAGAUGAGGAAUGAUUGCAAAUUAGACAGUUAUCCGAUAAAGUUCAACUAAAAUGGUUGUAAGCAAUUAUAAGCAGCCGUACGCCCUUCAACAAUGAGAAAAGUCCAUACUAUAUAGAAAGCCGGCUAGCUAAGGCCAGUUAUUAUUGAAUUGAAGACGAAUGAGUUUUAAAUACUAAUGUUUAAGUUGUACACAACUACUAUAAAAAGUUUAAAAGUGCUAUAACUUUUGAUUCAUAUAAGACAUUCAUGUUGCAAAACAAGACAACAAUUUUUACCUUUACUUUGGAUGAGUACAACAUUUUUGUUGUUGUAAACCUUUAUAUGCUGAUCCGCCAGUAAUUCGGCACUGACGCUUUAAUGUCCUAUAAUUUCAUUUCCAGUUUGUUAUCUUGAUUCCCACAAUUACAGGUUGAAGUGCACCUUCAGAGCAACAGAUGUACUAUUUAAUUGACGGAUGAUAUCCCGAAGAAGUUUCCUAAAUCAAUCUUAUCAAUUCAAUGUUAGCAACAUAAUCGUAUCAUACCUAUUUAGAUAAACCUUCAACUCUAUGUUAAAUUAAUUGUUAUAUCAACAAAAAAUAACAAAUUGAAUCAAAAGUAACAAGUAAUAUAUCCCCGUAAAAAUGGAUUUGAAAUUCAGAUUCUAUUUAUCUUUUAUUCGGAAGUCGUAAAACUAAUUCGAUAUAAUAAGUUAAGAAAAGUAAUGAGCGGUUUCAUAUGUGUAAUUUCGUGUUUAAUCGGUUUAUACAAAAUAAAUUCAUUCUACCGAACUGAGAUAUCAGUUGCUGAUUUUUUUUUUCAAAACGAAUUCAAACAAUAAAAGGAAGUCAUAAAUUGCGUCAUUACAACAGCUUUUUUUUUUUAAAUUUGUGUCGGAACUAUUCACAAUGAUAUACGGUGCAUAUAUUUCUUAACCAUGGAGUCCUAGAAAUGAACAUCAUAAUGUUGAAAAAAACACUAACCUUGUUUGUCCACAUGAUAAACAUCAUGACAAGUCACUAAUAAAUUAUUUCGUUCUUUUUCAGAUUUAUUUAACAUGGCAGAAUCAAGACCUGUAUGUGAUGCUUGUGCCCUCCGUCAAGUCUCAAAGGCAUCUAUCAUCUGGUGUACUGACUGUGCUGAGGGAUUUUGCGAAGAAUGUAAAGAACACCAUAGUUUUACUAAAACUUCAAGAAACCAUACAACAAUACCAAUUUCCGAGUAUCAGAAAUUACCUUCUGAUAUAUUAAAUAUAAGCCAAUACUGUAAAAUUCAUAACAAAAAAUAUCAACUUUACUGCAGGAAGCAUGCAAGUCUUUGCUGCAGGGUGUGCGUUAUAGAAUGUCACAAAGAAUGCAGAGAUUUCGAUAAACUAGUUGACGUCAUUCAGACAGCAAAAGAGUCAUAUGCGUUCUACGAAGUGGAGCAUAAUUUAGCAGAAAUUUUAGAAAGUUUUAAAACAAUCCGUGAAAACUGUCAAGACAACAUGAAAACACUAUCAAAAGAGAGGGCGAUUAUUGAACAAGAAAUCGAACACACCCGCAUAUUUAUUAACAACCAUCUUGACAAAUUGAAAAGAAACAUGAUAAGAGAGGUAAACGAGAUUGAAAAACAAGAAAACAAGAAAAUCUACCAACGUAUCAAAUUGGUAGAGGCAACGGAAAACGAGAUAUUGGAAUGCCAAAUGAAAGUUUCAAGUAUCAAACAGCAUGCAUCAGACUUGCAAGCUUUUCUAGCAAUGAAAGAGUUAGAAAAAGAUGUAUUCCUAAAAGAUAAAUUCCUUCAAUCACUUCUCGAUAAGAAUACAUCAAAACAAAUGUCUAUGAUAUUUCGUCCCAGUGCCAUCUUGCAAACACUUGUAUCCGAUGCUCAAACCUUUGGGAAAGUUUUAAUUGAGAAUAAACCAAGCAAAGUCGUUUUGAAUAGUUACAAGGGAAAACAAGCUCAAAUAACCGUAGUGAAAGUCAAUUCAUAUGCCAUUGAUUGUAUUAGUCUUAAGCUUUUCAAGACAAUCAAAGAACCGGGAUUUGACAUCCGUGACUGUUGUUUGUUACCGGACGGUAGAACAGCAUUUACAAAUUAUUUCGAUAACAAUAUCAGAAUCUGUAACACAAACGGAUCUUUUGAUUGUGAUGUGGACGC
Molecule: long non-coding RNA, 8789 nt
Filed under: Mytilus galloprovincialis (Mediterranean mussel)
Lineage: Eukaryota; Metazoa; Mollusca; Bivalvia; Mytilida; Mytilidae
Source: RNAcentral